CUACGGGAGGCACCAGUGAGGAAUAUUGCACAAUGGGGGGAACCCUGAUGCAGCAACGCCGCGUGGAGGAUGACGCAUUUCGGUGUGUAAACUCCUUUUAUAUGUCAAGAAAAUGACGGUAGCAUAUGAAUAAGCACCGGCUAACUCCGUGCCAGCAGCCGCGGUAAUACGGAGGGUGCAAGCGUUACUCGGAAUCACUGGGCGGAAAGGACGCGUAGGCGGGUUGGAAAGUCAGGUGUGAAAUCCUACAGCUUAACUGUAGAACUGCACUUGAAACUUCUAAUCUAGAGUAUGGGAGGGGGAGAUGGAAUUAGUGGUGUAGGGGUAAAAUCCGUAGAUAUCACUAGGAAUACCUAAAGCGAAGGCGAUCUCCUGGAACAUUACUGACGCUAAGGCGUGAAAGCGUGGGGAGCAAACAGGAUUAGAUAUCCGGGUAGUC
Molecule: ribosomal RNA, 439 nt
Filed under: uncultured bacterium
Lineage: Bacteria
Description: partial 16S ribosomal RNA
Rfam family: Bacterial small subunit ribosomal RNA
Source: RNAcentral